RNAcentral lists this ribosomal RNA (404 nucleotides) under Acidobacteriota bacterium. RNAcentral's name for it is "Acidobacteria bacterium partial 16S ribosomal RNA". It matches the Rfam family "Bacterial small subunit ribosomal RNA", at positions 355 to 776 of the family's 1533-position model. The record is from RNAcentral. Lineage: Bacteria; Pseudomonadati; Acidobacteriota.
UGGGGAAUAUUUCACAAUGGGGGAAACCCUGAUGCAGCGACGCCGCGUGAAGGAAGAAGUAUUUCGGUAUGUAAACUUCUAUCAGCAGGGAAGAAGAUGACGGUACCUGAGUAAGAAGCACCGGCUAAAUACGUGCCAGCAGCCGCGGUAAUACGUAUGGUGCAAGCGUUAUCCGGAUUUACUGGGUGUAAAGGGAGCGUAGACGGAUAGGCAAGUCUGGAGUGAAAACCCAGGGCUCAACCCUGGGACUGCUUUGGAAACUGCAGAUCUGGAGUGCCGGAGAGGUAAGCGGAAUUCCUGGUGUAGCGGUGAAAUGCGUAGAUAUUAGGAGGAACACCAGUGGCGAAGGCGGCUUACUGGACGGUGACUGACGUUGAGGCUCGAAAGCGUGGGGAGCAAACAGG